CUUUCCUUUAUUUUCUCUCUUUCUUGCUUCCCUUUUCUUUGAUUCUUUUCUUUAUCUCGUUAGAUUUGGAGAGAGAGAAAGUGUGUGUGUGUCACUGAGAUCCUUGGGAAUGGGUUUGCUUGAUUUACGGUGUUGGUGAGAAGGCUGUGCAAAAUGAGGAUGUUUUUGGGUACAAGAUUUAGUUUCUUUCUUCUUUCUUUUUGGAUUGCCGUUGCUCUUGUUUUCUUGUGCUGCUUUUGCCCAGUUUCAGCUCUGCCUCAGAAUGGCGGAGUCUCCAGAGAUUCUCUCAAGUUUAUCUUAGGAGAGGAGAAUUUGGGGCCAUGGAGAAACGGAAUGCCGGAGGCUGCUGCAGAAGCACCAGGCCCUUCUGAUGAUAACACGCUAGUACUGGCAGCGAAGAGAACAAAUCGACCAGACAUUCUUCAUGGGUUUAAGCGUUAUCGGGGUGGUUGGGAUAUCACCAAUCGCCAUUACUGGGCUUCUGUUGGUUUCACAGGUGCUCCUGGUUUUAUUUUGGCUGUCCUGUGGUUGUUUUCAUUUGGAUUGGCCUUUGCAUUACGCUGUUGCUGCCGGUGGAGAAUUAACAUUAAAGGCAAAGGAUCUGAUAGAUCUCAGAGGAUUUGUCUCAUAGUGCUUAUAGUGUUCACAUCUGCUGCAGCGGUUGGUUGCAUUCUUUUAUCUGUUGGUCAGGAUGAAUUUCAUGGUGAAGCUUUGCAGACUCUGAAAUAUGUUGUGAACCAAUCAAACUACACUGUACAAACUCUGAGAAAUGUCACAUGGUAUUUGUCACUUGCAAAGACCAUCAAUGUGGCCCAUGUAUUUCUUCCUUCUAAUGUCAUGGAUGAUAUUGACAAGUUGAAUUUAGAUCUAAAUACUGCAGCUGAUACACUAGAAGAGAAGACAGGUGAAAAUUCUAGAAAAAUAGUAAAAGUGUUCAAUGCUGUGCGAUCAGCAUUGAUCACUGUGGCGGCAG
This 973-nucleotide unclassified non-coding RNA is filed under the name Hevea brasiliensis (rubber tree). The record is from RNAcentral. Lineage: Eukaryota; Viridiplantae; Streptophyta; Magnoliopsida; Malpighiales; Euphorbiaceae.